RNAcentral lists this ribosomal RNA (253 nucleotides) under uncultured bacterium. Its description in RNAcentral is "partial 16S ribosomal RNA". It matches the Rfam family "Bacterial small subunit ribosomal RNA", at positions 524 to 776 of the family's 1533-position model. The record is from RNAcentral.
UACGUAGGUGACUAGCGUUGUCCGGAUUUACUGGGCGUAAAGAGCGCGCAGGCGGUCGUUCAAGUCGAGUGUGAAAGCCCCCGGCUCAACUGGGGAGGGUCACUCGAUACUGAUCGACUUGAAGGCAGGAGAGGGAAGCGGAAUUCCCGGUGUAGUGGUGAAAUGCGUAGAUAUCGGGAGGAACACCAGUGGCGAAGGCGGCUUCCUGGCCUGUUCUUGACGCUGAGGCGCGAAAGCGUGGGGAGCAAACAGG